Lingula anatina is the source of this 374-nucleotide long non-coding RNA. The record is from RefSeq and is a predicted model, not a curated record. Lineage: Eukaryota; Metazoa; Brachiopoda; Lingulata; Lingulida; Lingulidae.
CAGCGGAAAUCUUGAGAAUCUACGUGAAGUUAGUAUUUUAUCUGGCAAUAAAACCGGAGAUCAGGAAACGACGCCAGCGGGAGGUGACCACAGUGACAAGGCUCUCUACCUGGGGAUAGGGUUUGCCUCCGUGGGCACCCUAGCCAUACUGGCUAUGAUUAUAGUUUUAAUAAAGUGCGACAGUUCCAAAAUCUAUAUAUGCGACGCCUGCAAUAAAAGUCUCCCAGCUAUCGGCUGUUUAAAACCCCAACCCAAGAAACGCGGUAGCAUUCGUUACAACACCAGGCAGGUUUCGAUAGAUCCCUCGACGGUUAGUGAGCCGCAGCCGGUUGAAUUCUACCUUGAAACUAGGUCUCGCCAUGGCAGCAACGCCA